UGAUGCAUCCAUGCCAUCUUGUACAAUUCAGCGGGAGCUAAGCAGAAUUGGGUGGGGUUAGUACUUAGAUGGGGCUCUCCAAGACACACACAGCUGCUUCAG
RNAcentral lists this ribosomal RNA (102 nucleotides) under Chelonoidis abingdonii (Abingdon island giant tortoise). Lineage: Eukaryota; Metazoa; Chordata; Testudines; Testudinidae. The record is from RNAcentral.